RNAcentral lists this ribosomal RNA (408 nucleotides) under uncultured bacterium. RNAcentral's name for it is "bacterial SSU rRNA". It matches the Rfam family "Bacterial small subunit ribosomal RNA", at positions 917 to 1322 of the family's 1533-position model. The record is from RNAcentral.
GGACCCGCACAAGCAGCGGAGCAUGUGGUUUAAUUCGAAGCAACGCGAAGAACCUUACCAAAUCUUGACAUCCUUUUGACCAUCAUUUAAUCAUGAUCUCUUCUUCGGAAGCAGAAGUGACAGGUGGUGCAUGGUUGUCGUCAGCUCGUGUCGUGAGAUGUUGGGUUAAGUCCCGCAACGAGCGCAACCCUUGUCUUUAGUUGCCAUCAGGUAAUGCUGGGCCCUCUAGAGAGACUGCCGGUGACAAACCGGAGGAAGGUGGGGAUGACGUCAAAUCAUCAUGCCCCUUAUGAUUUGGGCUACACACGUGCUACAAUGGUCGGUACAACGGGCAGCGAAAGGGUAACCUGGAGCGAAUCCUAUAAAGCCGAUCCCAGUUCGGAUUGUGGGCUGCAACUCGCCCACAUG